RNAcentral lists this ribosomal RNA (253 nucleotides) under uncultured bacterium. RNAcentral's name for it is "partial 16S ribosomal RNA". It matches the Rfam family "Bacterial small subunit ribosomal RNA", at positions 524 to 776 of the family's 1533-position model. The record is from RNAcentral.
UACGCAGGGGGCAAGCGUUGUCCGGAUUUAUUGGGCGUAAAGAGCGUGUAGGCGGCUUCACCGGUCUGCUGUGAAAACUCGAGGCUCAACCUCGAGCUGUCGGUGGAAACCGUGGGGCUAGAGUCCGGAAGAGGAGAGUGGAAUUCCCGGUGUAGCGGUGAAAUGCGCAGAUAUCGGGAAGAACACCCGUGGCGAAGGCGGCUCUCUGGGACGGUACUGACGCUGAGACGCGAAAGCGUGGGGAGCAAACAGG